RNAcentral lists this ribosomal RNA (433 nucleotides) under uncultured bacterium. RNAcentral's name for it is "partial 16S ribosomal RNA". It matches the Rfam family "Bacterial small subunit ribosomal RNA", at positions 29 to 507 of the family's 1533-position model. The record is from RNAcentral.
AACGAACGCUGGCGGCAUGCCUAACACAUGCAAGUCGAACGAAACCUUCGGGUCUAGUGGCGCACGGGUGCGUAACGCGUGGGAACCUGCCCUUAUGGUCGGAAUAACUCCCCGAAAGGGGUGCUAAUACCGGAUAAUGUCUUCGGACCAAAGAUUUAUCGCCUUGGGAUGGGCCCGCGUGAGAUUAGCUAGUUGGUAGGGUAAAAGCCUACCAAGGCGAGGAUCCAUAGCUGGUAUGAGAGGAUGAUCAGCCACACCGGGACUGAGACACGGCCCAGAAUCUUCCGGAAUGCAGGAGUGCGUAAUAUUGGAACAUGGGCGAAAGCAUGAUCCAGCAAUGCCGGGUGAGUGAUGAAGGCCUUAGGGUUGUAAAGCUCUUUUACCCGGGAUGAUAAUGACAGUACCGGGACAAUAAGCCCCGGCUAACUCCGUG